Long non-coding RNA from Populus trichocarpa (black cottonwood), 649 nucleotides. RefSeq lists it as uncharacterized. Lineage: Eukaryota; Viridiplantae; Streptophyta; Magnoliopsida; Malpighiales; Salicaceae. The transcript has 2 exons. The record is from RefSeq and is a predicted model, not a curated record.
UCCCAUCUCUCUAUUUUUGCACCAGAGAACGCCUUAGAGAUCAACCAAACAACGCGUUCGUAGUUUUAGAUCCACUUUGCAAGCACAGUCUGUGCAGCCCUUCUAUCUCCCAACCCAGAACCAUCAAUGUUCUGAUUUGCUUCUUCGUGGUCUUCUGGUGCAAUGCGAGGCUGUCUAGAGAUUUGCUUACAUGCUCCUUUCUUGAGGGAGUGUGAGCAUUUCUUUGUUAGUGUAGCUCGGCUGUGCGAGUUUUAGUAGCUCUGUGUGCGGCUUUAAUAUCUUUGAGCUGUUUUUUUCUUUUUUUUUUGCAUCGGUGGUUCUUUUAAGGAGAAGAAACGUCUGUAUUAGGAUUUGACGUGAGUGUUGCAGGAUCAGGAUUUGGGACCUUUUAUUUUUUAUAAUCGGUAGGUAUUUGCAGGCUCCAGCAUGGUUGUUCUAGUGCUUGGCAUGGAGGUUGCAGGGCUUGGUAUUAAAUAAAUAUAGUUGUACCAGGUUACUUGUUGGUUUUUUAUUAACAUUAAACUAAAAUUAAUAAGUGUUUUAUGGUGCAGUUGACAAUGAAAUGAUUUUUUUUUGUUUUUAUACAGUUAUGGUUUUAUUUAUUUCUUUUCUUUGUAUUUUUUUCUUUUAAUGAAUUUUUUUUAUUUAA